UACGUAGGAUGCAAGCGUUGUCCGGAAUUAUUGGGCGUAAAGAGCUCGUAGGCGGUUUGUCGCGUCUGUCGUGAAAGCUUGGGGCUUAACCCCAAGUCUGCGGUGGAUACGGGCAGACUAGAGGCAGGUAGGGGAGAACGGAAUUCCCGGUGUAGCGGUGAAAUGCGCAGAUAUCGGGAGGAACACCGGUGGCGAAGGCGGUUCUCUGGGCCUGUACUGACGCUGAGGAGCGAAAGCGUGGGGAGCGAACAGG
This 253-nucleotide ribosomal RNA is filed under the name uncultured bacterium. Its description in RNAcentral is "partial 16S ribosomal RNA". It matches the Rfam family "Bacterial small subunit ribosomal RNA", at positions 524 to 776 of the family's 1533-position model. The record is from RNAcentral.